This 778-nucleotide ribosomal RNA is filed under the name uncultured Neocallimastigales. RNAcentral describes it as "partial large subunit ribosomal RNA". It matches the Rfam family "Eukaryotic large subunit ribosomal RNA", at positions 20 to 635 of the family's 3401-position model. The record is from RNAcentral. Lineage: Eukaryota; Fungi; Neocallimastigomycota; Neocallimastigomycetes; Neocallimastigales.
UACUAGAGUAGCACUCGCAUAUCAAUAAGCGGAGGAAAAGAAACUAACAAGGAUUCCCUUAGUAACGGCGAGUGAAGCGGGAAGAGCUCAAAUCUGAAAUCUUCAAGGUUUUACCUUGACGAAUUGUAGUUUAAAGAAGUGUUUUCGGUUAGAGGAGUUUGGUAAAAGUUCUUUGGAAUAGGACAUCAUAGAGGGUGAGAAUCCCGUAUUUGACCAUUACUUUCUAGCUGUGUGAUACACUUUCAAAGAGUCGGAUUGUUUGGGAAUGCAGUCCAAAAUGGGUGGUAAAUUUCAUCUAAAGCUAAAUAUUGGCGAGAGACCGAUAGCGAACGAGCUACCGUGAGGGAAAGAUGAAAAGAACUUUGAAAAGAGAGUUAAACAGUACGUGAAAUUGUCAAAAGGGAAGCGUUUGACACCAGUGUUGUUUUCUCGAAAAUCAAUUAAAAAUGACUGGAUUUUGUGUUGUAUUGACUUUAUCAGCUUUCUGCACUUUUUUCAUGUCUUUUUUAAUGCACUUUUCGUUUAACAGGUCAACAUCAAUUUCUUUUGUUGUAAAAGGGUUAUUGGAAGGUGGCUUUCUCUUCGGAGAAAGUGUUUAUAGCCUUUAACCUCUGCAAUCGGAGAGAUUGAGGUCUGCAGCGUAGAUCCUUCGGGGUUAGAUACGUAGAUGCUAAGUUAUAGUUUUUUAUAGACAACUUGUUGACUAUAAUUAAUCAUGUAGCUUACUCGUUUGCGCUAUUUUACCUACGCUUAGGAUGUUGAAGAUGUAGCACAUCAU